UGAGGAAUAUUGGGCAAUGCCCGCAAGGGUGACCCAGCAACGCCGCGUGGAGGAUGAAUGUCGUAAGAUUGUAAACUCCUGUUAGAGGGGAAGAAUAGUACCGGUUGGACCGGUAUAUGACUGUACCCUCAGAGAAAGCCCCGGCUAACUACGUGCCAGCAGCCGCGGUAAUACGUAGGGGGCAAGCGUUGUCCGGAUUUACUGGGUGUAAAGGGCGCGCAGGCGGGAUAAAAAGUCAGUGGUGAAAUCCUACAGCUUAACUGUAGAACUGCCUUUGAUACUUUUAUUCUUGAGUUUGGGAGAGAGAGACGGAAUUCCAGGUGUAGUGGUGAAAUACGUAGAUAUCUGGAAGAACACCAGUUGCGAAGGCGGUCUCUUGGUCCGACACUGACGCUGAGGCGCGAAAGCGUGGGGAGCAAACA
This 422-nucleotide ribosomal RNA is filed under the name uncultured bacterium. Its description in RNAcentral is "bacterial SSU rRNA". It matches the Rfam family "Bacterial small subunit ribosomal RNA", at positions 355 to 774 of the family's 1533-position model. The record is from RNAcentral.